RNAcentral lists this long non-coding RNA (310 nucleotides) under Lathyrus oleraceus (garden pea). RNAcentral's name for it is "Pisum sativum (pea) long non-coding RNA (PSAT_LNC035435)". The record is from RNAcentral. Lineage: Eukaryota; Viridiplantae; Streptophyta; Magnoliopsida; Fabales; Fabaceae.
GAUAUAGUAGGGAUUAUUUCCCGUUGUUUUGAGCAGUAUAGGUAUUAGUAGAGUGUGCUAAUACUGUGAUUUAUUAUUUGGCAUGACAUGAUAUGCUUCUAUGAUAAAUAUGCUGAUAAUGUAUGAUGGUAUGCAUAAUGCUGUGAAUAUAUCUAUUAUGUAUGCAAUUGUGGAUGGACUGUUUAUGGCUUAGAGUGUGAGCAUAUGUCCAUUGUCGAUUGUUGUUGAUGGUUGCAUGCUAGGUGAUUUAGCGUGCAUAAUAUGGCCUUUAUGGUGGUAGCUAAUUCCCAUGGUGAGGAAUUAGUGAGUG